Molecule: transfer RNA, 66 nt
Filed under: Aulacus sinensis
Lineage: Eukaryota; Metazoa; Arthropoda; Insecta; Hymenoptera; Aulacidae
Description: tRNA-Asn
Source: RNAcentral
UUAAUUGAAACCAAAUUAGGUAAAUUAUUGUUAAUAAUUUUUUGAAUAAAAUUUAUUCCAAUUAAA